CUCGUAGGCGGCCGACUAAGUCAGACGUGAAAUCCCUCGGCUUAACCGGGGAACUGCGUCUGAUACUGGCCGGCUUGAAUCCGGGAGAGGGAUGCGGAAUUCCAGGUGUAGCGGUGAAAUGCGUAGAUAUCUGGAGGAACACCGGUGGCGAAGGCGGCAUCCUGGACCGGCAUUGACGCUGAGGAGCGAAAGCCAGGGGAGCAAACGG
This 208-nucleotide ribosomal RNA is filed under the name uncultured Acidobacteriota bacterium. Its description in RNAcentral is "uncultured Acidobacteria bacterium partial 16S ribosomal RNA". It matches the Rfam family "Bacterial small subunit ribosomal RNA", at positions 568 to 775 of the family's 1533-position model. Lineage: Bacteria; Pseudomonadati; Acidobacteriota. The record is from RNAcentral.